AGAGUUUGAUCCUGGCUCAGGACGAACGCUGGCGGCGUGCUUAACACAUGCAAGUCGAACGGAAAGGCCCUUCGGGGUGCUCGAGUGGCGAACGGGUGAGUAACACGUGGGUGAUCUGCCCUGCACUUUGGGAUAAGCCUGGGAAACUGGGUCUAAUACCGAAUAUGACUACAUGCUUCCUGGUGUGUGGUGGAAAGCUUUUGCGGUGUGGGAUGGGCCCGCGGCCUAUCAGCUUGUUGGUGGGGUAAUGGCCUACCAAGGCGACGACGGGUAGCCGGCCUGAGAGGGUGACCGGCCACACUGGGACUGAGAUACGGCCCAGACUCCUACGGGAGGCAGCAGUGGGGAAUAUUGCACAAUGGGCGCAAGCCUGAUGCAGCGACGCCGCGUGAGGGAUGACGGCCUUCGGGUUGUAAACCUCUUUCAGCACAGACGAAGCGUGAGUGACGGUAUGUGCAGAAGAAGGACCGGCCAACUACGUGCCAGCAGCCGCGGUAAUACGUAGGGUCCGAGCGUUGUCCGGAAUUACUGGGCGUAAAGAGCUCGUAGGUGGUUUGUCGCGUUGUUCGUGAAAACUCACAGCUUAACUGUGGGCGUGCGGGCGAUACGGGCAGACUUGAGUACUGCAGGGGAGACUGGAAUUCCUGGUGUAGCGGUGGAAUGCGCAGAUAUCAGGAGGAACACCGGUGGCGAAGGCGGGUCUCUGGGCAGUAACUGACGCUGAGGAGCGAAAGCGUGGGGAGCGAACAGGAUUAGAUACCCUGGUAGUCCAA
RNAcentral lists this ribosomal RNA (773 nucleotides) under uncultured bacterium. RNAcentral describes it as "bacterial SSU rRNA". It matches the Rfam family "Bacterial small subunit ribosomal RNA", at positions 8 to 798 of the family's 1533-position model. The record is from RNAcentral.